AAAAGUGGCAUGAAUGCCCUGAAAGCACCAGAUUCUGUCUGACCUUGGAAACUAAACAGGAUCUUCCCUGUUAGUACUUGGAUAGAAGACUGCCAACGAAUGCCAGGUGCUGCCAGUU
Molecule: ribosomal RNA, 118 nt
Filed under: Anolis carolinensis (green anole)
Lineage: Eukaryota; Metazoa; Chordata; Lepidosauria; Squamata; Anolidae
Source: RNAcentral